GCCCUCGUAGCUCAGUGGAUUAGAGCGUUUGCUUGCGGAGCAAUAGGCCGGCGGUUCGAGUCCGUCCGAGGGCGCCA
Molecule: transfer RNA, 77 nt
Filed under: Chloroflexota bacterium
Lineage: Bacteria; Bacillati; Chloroflexota
Description: Chloroflexi bacterium (sediment metagenome) tRNA-Arg
Rfam family: tRNA
About the family: Transfer RNA (tRNA) molecules are approximately 80 nucleotides in length. Their secondary structure includes four short double-helical elements and three loops (D, anti-codon, and T loops). Further hydrogen bonds mediate the characteristic L-shaped molecular structure. tRNAs have two regions of fundamental functional importance: the anti-codon, which is responsible for specific mRNA codon recognition, and the 3' end, to which the tRNAs corresponding amino acid is attached (by aminoacyl-tRNA synthetases). tRNAs cope with the degeneracy of the genetic code in two manners: having more than one tRNA (with a specific anti-codon) for a particular amino acid; and 'wobble' base-pairing, i.e. permitting non-standard base-pairing at the 3rd anti-codon position.
Source: RNAcentral